AGAGUUUGAUCAUGGCUCAGGAUGAACGCUGGCGGCGUGCUUAACACAUGCAAGUCGAACGGAGUUAAGAUGAAACCUGGUGAUUCUUAACUUAGUGGCGGACGGGUGAGUAACGCGUGGGUAACCUGCCGUAUACAGGGGGAUAACACUUAGAAAUAGGUGCUAAAACCGCAUAAGCGCACAGCUUCGCAUGAAGCAGUGUGAAAAACUCCGGUGGUAUACGAUGGACCCGCGUCUGAUUAGCCAGUUGGCAGGGUAACGGCCUACCAAAGCGACGAUCAGUAGCCGGCCUGAGAGGGUGAACGGCCACAUUGGGACUGAGACACGGCCCAAACUCCUACGGGAGGCAGCAGUGGGGAAUAUUGCACAAUGGGGGAAACCCUGAUGCAGCGACGCCGCGUGAGUGAAGAAGUAUUUCGGUAUGUAAAGCUCUAUCAGCAGGGAAGAAAAUGACGGUACCUGAGAAAGAAGCCCCGGCUAACUACGUGCCAGCAGCCGCGGUAAUACGUAGGGGGCAAGCGUUAUCCGGAUUUACUGGGUGUAAAGGGAGCGUAGACGGUUGUGCAAGUCUGGAGUGAAAUGCGGGGGCUCAACCCCUGAACUGCUCUGGAAACUGUGUAACUGGAGUGCAGGAGAGGUAAGUGGAAUUCCUAGUGUAGCGGUGAAAUGCGUAGAUAUUAGGAGGAACACCAGUGGCGAAAGCGGCUUACUGGACUGUAACUGACGUUGAGGCUCGAAAGCGUGGGGAGCAAACAGGAUUAGAUACCCUGGUAGUCCACGCCGUAAACGAUGAUUACUAG
RNAcentral lists this ribosomal RNA (800 nucleotides) under uncultured bacterium. RNAcentral describes it as "bacterial SSU rRNA". It matches the Rfam family "Bacterial small subunit ribosomal RNA", at positions 8 to 819 of the family's 1533-position model. The record is from RNAcentral.